ACUUUGUUUCCUCUGAAGACCCAACAAGAAGGAAACAAUCUUCAGGCAAUCGACCUCCAAAGCAUUCUCGAGGGAAGGAGCUCGGGGGCGAACAAAAGAAGAAGAGCUCUCACAAAGGGCCGAACCCGAAAGGCAAGGCCUCAAAACCUGGAGGAUGCUUCUUAUGCGGAGGACCGCACAUGGUAAGGGAGUGCCCACAAAAAUAGGCACUCAAUGCUUUGACGGCUUCCAUCCACCCUCCCCGAUCGGACAAGGGCAAAGCUGUUGCUCUUAGUUCAAGCAGUUCUGAAUCCAGCAGCGACGACGAGGAGUCGCAAGGACCCCGAAUGGGAGCAAUGCGUUUGUUGAACGCUAUGCGGGGUCAAGUGGGGGAGAACAUGAAGACAAAGGCACAAAAAGCAGGAAGUAGUGAGCUGAUGUA
RNAcentral lists this long non-coding RNA (421 nucleotides) under Musa acuminata (dwarf banana). Its description in RNAcentral is "long non-coding RNA (MACU_LNC011093)". Lineage: Eukaryota; Viridiplantae; Streptophyta; Magnoliopsida; Zingiberales; Musaceae. The record is from RNAcentral.